CUUAGUCGUGUGUACAUCAUUGGGAAUGGAGGGAAAUAAAUGACUGGAUGGUCGCUGCUUUUUAAGUUUCAAAUUGACAUUCCAGACAAGCGGUGCCUGAGCCCGUGCCUGUCUUCAGAUCUUCACAGCACAGUUCCUGGGAAGGUGGAGCCACCAGCCUCUCCUUGACAAGCAAAGUGGAUCAGCAAAGGCUGCAGUCACCAGCAUCUUUUCCAACCUUAAUGAACUGUAUCCUCAAAAGAACACUAUCAGACUGGCUCUGCCGACUUCCAGUUCUGGAACAAGAUGGUUAAACUCAUUUUUCCCUGCUCUGCUCCUCUAAAUACAACUAAGUACCUUGGAAACUAUUCAGCAGACAAUGAUAAAGGGCUCUGAAAGCUAGAAGAAAAGGUGUACUUGCAAGAAACCUCAGGACUUGAGUAACAGCAACAUGGUAAGUUUUCUAAGUUUUCUUUUCGUCUCCCAUAUA
RNAcentral lists this long non-coding RNA (469 nucleotides) under Homo sapiens (human). RNAcentral's name for it is "non-protein coding CYTOR:103". The record is from RNAcentral. Lineage: Eukaryota; Metazoa; Chordata; Mammalia; Primates; Hominidae.